Molecule: ribosomal RNA, 599 nt
Filed under: bacterium enrichment culture clone F61x_D66_T3_B09
Lineage: Bacteria
Description: bacterial SSU rRNA
Rfam family: Bacterial small subunit ribosomal RNA
Source: RNAcentral
CCUGGCUCAGAUUGAACGCUGGCGGCAUGCCUUACACAUGCAAGUCGAACGGCAGCGCGGGGCAACCUGGCGGCGAGUGGCGGACGGGUGAGUAAUAUAUCGGAACGUACCCUGGAGUGGGGGAUAACGUAGCGAAAGUUACGCUAAUACCGCAUACGAUCUAAGGAUGAAAGUGGGGGAUUCGCAAGAACCUCAUGCUCCUGGAGCGGCCGAUAUCUGAUUAGCUAGUUGGUGGGGUAAAGGCCUACCAAGGCAUCGAUCAGUAGCUGGUCUGAGAGGACGACCAGCCACACUGGAACUGAGACACGGUCCAGACUCCUACGGGAGGCAGCAGUGGGGAAUUUUGGACAAUGGGCGCAAGCCUGAUCCAGCAAUGCCGCGUGAGUGAAGAAGGCCUUCGGGUUGUAAAGCUCUUUUGUCAGGGAAGAAACGGUGAAGGCUAAUAUCCUUUGCUAAUGACGGUACCUGAAGAAUAAGCACCGGCUAACUACGUGCCAGCAGCCGCGGUAAUACGUAGGGUGCAAGCGUUAAUCGGAAUUACUGGGCGUAAAGCGUGCGCAGGCGGUUUUGUAAGUCUGUCGUGAAAUCUCCCGGGCUCA